UUGGGGCGAAGCCUGGUGUCAGGAACUGGAGGUCUUUCACAACCCACAGGCGACGCACCCCAUUCCCUUCGAUCUCAUACCCGGCGCGACCCAUUGGUUCGAGCGCGGCGGCGACGUCGAGUGCAACACCAUGUGGGCGAACUCGGUCAUUUCAUCGAUCACUCAUCUGCGCAUGGCCGGCGCGCAAGGCGAAAGCGAGCGGCC
Molecule: unclassified non-coding RNA, 204 nt
Filed under: Hevea brasiliensis (rubber tree)
Lineage: Eukaryota; Viridiplantae; Streptophyta; Magnoliopsida; Malpighiales; Euphorbiaceae
Source: RNAcentral